AACGAACGCUGGCGGCAGGCUUAACACAUGCAAGUCGAGCGCCCCGCAAGGGGAGCGGCAGACGGGUGAGUAACACGUGGGAACAUACCCAUCUCUGCGGAACAACUCCGGGAAACUGGAGCUAAUAACGCAUACGCCCUUCGGGGGAAAGAUUUAUAGGAGAUGGAUUGGCCCGCGUUGGAUUAGCUAGUUGGUGGGGUAAAGGCCUACCAAGGCGACGAUCCAUAGCUGGUCUGAGAGGAUGAUCAGCCACAUUGGGACUGAGACACGGCCCAAACUCCUACGGGAGGCAGCAGUGGGGAAUAUUGGACAAUGGGCGCAAGCCUGAUCCAGCCAUGCCGCGUGAGUGAUGAAGGCCUUAGGGUUGUAAAGCUCUUUCACCGAUGAAGAUAAUGACGGUAGUCGGAGAAGAAGCCCCGGCUAACUUCGUGCCAGCCGCCGCCGUAA
RNAcentral lists this ribosomal RNA (447 nucleotides) under uncultured bacterium. Its description in RNAcentral is "partial 16S ribosomal RNA". It matches the Rfam family "Bacterial small subunit ribosomal RNA", at positions 29 to 523 of the family's 1533-position model. The record is from RNAcentral.